This is a long non-coding RNA of Pantherophis guttatus, 313 nucleotides long. RefSeq lists it as uncharacterized. The record is from RefSeq and is a predicted model, not a curated record. Lineage: Eukaryota; Metazoa; Chordata; Lepidosauria; Squamata; Colubridae.
UCAUGCAAGAUAGCCCAAGAAUUUACAGGACCAGGCGGCUUUUUGCCAGGAAGAAUGGGCAGCUUUACCAUCUGAGAAGAUAAAGAGCCUCAUCCACCUAUACCACAAAAGACUUCAAGCUGUCAUUGAUGUUAAAGGGGGCAAUACACCAUAUUAAGAACUGGGGUGACACUUGAGGAUAACAGAAUGCAACAUUAAUUCAGCAGACAGAAAAAUUCUGGGGACAUCUGUUCCCCAAACAUCUACAGCAAGUUUGACAUGUUACACUGUACAACUACUUCACAACAGAUGGUAACUGAGUCUAAUUUUACAA